RNAcentral lists this long non-coding RNA (231 nucleotides) under Nicotiana benthamiana. Its description in RNAcentral is "long non-coding RNA (NBEN_LNC025000)". Lineage: Eukaryota; Viridiplantae; Streptophyta; Magnoliopsida; Solanales; Solanaceae. The record is from RNAcentral.
CAAAAUGAGUUACAACAUCACAUAUUUAUACUACUCCAUGGAAGGAUCUAGAUACUUGAAUGAUUAUACAAGUUUAUAGAAUUCUCUAGAUUGAUGCCAAUGAAUUUUAUUUGAGAAGUAUCUAGUAUCCUCCUAGAAUUGUCUAGUUUAAUACAUUGAUUUUUAUGAAAGAUUUUUCUAGCUUGUACAAGAUGAUUCUAGAACACCUCAUGUUAAUCAAGUUUAAUCUUA